UUAACAAAAGAGAGUUACAUUUUAAAAUGUGCACUCAUCCGAAAAUCCUUGAAUGAUCUUUGAGAUUGCCUUCUCCUUUUGGACAAAACCCAGACGGAUUACGUUGAGAAACAAGAAGCUUUAUUCAAAGAGUUGUGCGGUUUAGGACCCGGGGAUACUGGAUUCGAUCUAGUUAAACAAUAUCAACUUCCGAUUCUUGAUGCUGCUAUUGAGAUUGUGGAGCGAAUUAGGGAAUGCCCCAGUUGGAGGAGAGAUAUGGUACCUUAUGAUCAAUUGGAUGGAGAAACAUAUGACGACUACCUAACACGUUUGAAAUCCGACAACGAGUUUACUGACGAAAGGAAUCGUAUGCAAGUCGAGCACAUGAAAAGACAACAUGCACGGUCCAGAUCGUAUCGAGUGGACCUUUUAGAAAAACAGUAAGAAGACAUCGCCCAAAAAAAUCAAGUUGAGGUUCAACGAGGGCUGGAGCAAAAGGAAGUUAAUGUUAG
RNAcentral lists this long non-coding RNA (491 nucleotides) under Helianthus annuus (common sunflower). The record is from RNAcentral. Lineage: Eukaryota; Viridiplantae; Streptophyta; Magnoliopsida; Asterales; Asteraceae.